Molecule: long non-coding RNA, 286 nt
Filed under: Elaeis guineensis (African oil palm)
Lineage: Eukaryota; Viridiplantae; Streptophyta; Magnoliopsida; Arecales; Arecaceae
Description: long non-coding RNA (EGUI_LNC008410)
Source: RNAcentral
GCCUACAAACAAAGCCGCCACUGAGCCCACAGUUGAGGAUGCCCCCUGAUUUUGCCCUUUUUGUAUUUUGCUUUCUUCGCUCGUAUAAUGAACUUUUCACCAAUGAGAUGAAUCUUUUUUCACUAUUGAUGUGUUUGUCAUAAUAAUUUAACUGUUGAGUUUGAAGUCAUCGAUGUUGUAACCAAUGCUGACCCAAAAUUGUCAAUGUGGGAAGUUGUCCGAGCUGGGCUUGGUCUGCUUGGAUAAUUUUUUUGAAGUCAAUCAUUUUGGUUAUGUAUCUGAAGUG